CCUACGGGAGGCAGCAGUAGGGAAUCUUCCACAAUGGGCGAAAGCCUGAUGGAGCAACGCCGCGUGGGUGAAGAAGGUCUUCGGAUCGUAAAAUCCUGUUGUUAGAGAAGAAAGUGCGUGAGAGUAACUGUUCACGUUUCGACGGUAUCUACCCAGAAAGCCCCGGCUAACUACGUGCCAGCAGCCGCGGUAAUACGUAGGUGGCAAGCGUUAUCCGGAUUUAUUGGGCGUAAAGGGAACGCAGGCGGUCUUUUAAGUCUGAUGUGAAAGCCUUCGGCUUAACCGGAGUAGUGCAUUGGAAACUGGGAGACUUGAGUGCAGAAGAGGAGAGUAGAACUCCAUGUGUAGCGGUGAAAUGCGUAGAUAUAUGGAAGAACACCAGUGGCGAAAGCGGCUCUCUGGACUGUAACUGACGCUGAGGUUCGAAAGCGUGGGUAGCAAACAGGAUUAGAUACCCGGGUAGUC
Molecule: ribosomal RNA, 465 nt
Filed under: uncultured bacterium
Lineage: Bacteria
Description: partial 16S ribosomal RNA
Rfam family: Bacterial small subunit ribosomal RNA
Source: RNAcentral